RNAcentral lists this unclassified non-coding RNA (276 nucleotides) under Vibrio harveyi. Its description in RNAcentral is "16S-23S ribosomal RNA intergenic spacer". Lineage: Bacteria; Pseudomonadati; Pseudomonadota; Gammaproteobacteria; Vibrionales; Vibrionaceae. The record is from RNAcentral.
UACGAUGAUUACUCACGAUGAGUGUCCACACAGAUUGAUAGUUCACAAGCGAAAGCUUGUAGCUAACAUAGCUCUUUAACAAUUUGGAAAGCUGACAAAACAACAAAUUAUUGUUGUUUGUAAAGUUCUCAAUGUUUGUCUUUAUGACAAACACCAAUAAAACACAUUCAAGUGUUCUUGGAAUUUGAGUCCGGCAAAAUCGAGUCUGCAUCAUGUAUAAAAAUUGCAGACAACUUUGGUGAUUUGACUUCAACUCGAAACUCCUUCGGGUUGUAU